Molecule: ribosomal RNA, 641 nt
Filed under: uncultured bacterium
Lineage: Bacteria
Description: bacterial SSU rRNA
Rfam family: Bacterial small subunit ribosomal RNA
Source: RNAcentral
CGCGGCCUAUCAGCUUGUUGGUGGGGUAACGGCCUACCAAGGCGACGACGGGUAGCCGGCCUGAGAGGGCGACCGGCCACACUGGGACUGAGACACGGCCCAGACUCCUACGGGAGGCAGCAGUGGGGAAUAUUGCGCAAUGGGCGAAAGCCUGACGCAGCGACGCCGCGUGAGGGAUGAAGGCCUUCGGGUUGUAAACCUCUUUCAGCAGGGACGAAGCGAAAGUGACGGUACCUGCAGAAGAAGCACCGGCCAACUACGUGCCAGCAGCCGCGGUAAUACGUAGGGUGCAAGCGUUGUCCGGAAUUAUUGGGCGUAAAGAGCUCGUAGGCGGCCUGUCGCGUCGGCUGUGAAAACCCAGGGCUCAACCCUGGGCCUGCAGUCGAUACGGGCAGGUUAGAGUCCGGCAGGGGAGACUGGAAUUCCUGGUGUAGCGGUGAAAUGCGCAGAUAUCAGGAGGAACACCGGUGGCGAAGGCGGGUCUCUGGGCCGGAACUGACGCUGAGGAGCGAAAGCGUGGGGAGCGAACAGGAUUAGAUACCCUGGUAGUCCACGCCGUAAACGUUGGGCGCUAGGUGUGGGGAACCUUCCACGUUCUCCGUGCCGCAGCUAACGCAUUAAGCGCCCCGCCUGGGAGUACG